CAUAGGUUUGGUCCUGGCCUUUUCAUUAGCUUAUAGCUAACUUAUACAUGCAAGCAUCCCCGUCCCAGUGAGAAUGCCCUCUAUAUCUAUUAACUGAUCAAAAGGUGCAGGCAUCAAGUUCACCGAUCCUGGUAGCUCACAACGCCUUGCUCCACCACGCCCCCACGGGAGACAGCAGUAAUUAAAAUUAAGCCCAUAAACGAAAGUUUGACUAAGUUAAGCUAAAUUAAGAGUUGGUAAAUUUCGUGCCAGCCACCGCGGUCAUACGAUUAACUCCAGUUAAUGAAACACGGCGUAAAGCGUGAUUAAGAGACUAACUAGAUAAGAUUAAAAUAAUAUUAAACUGUAAAAAGUCUUGAUAAUAAUGAAAAUCAAAUACGAAAGUAAUCUUAAACCUUCUGAAUUCACGAUAGCUAAGACCCAAACUGGGAUUAGAUACCCCACUAUGCUUAGCCCUAAACAUAAACAUUUAACAAACAAAAAUGUUCGCCAGAGUACUACUAGCAACAGCCUGAAACUCAAAGGACUUGGCGGUGCUUUACACCCCUCUAGAGGAGCCUGUUCUAUAAUCGAUAUACCCCGAUUCACCUCACCACCUUUAGCAAAUAUCAGCCUAUAUACCGCCAUCUGCAGCAAACCCUAAAAAGGCCCUACAGUAAGCAAGAAAAUUUUACAUUAGUACGUUAGGUCAAGGUGUAGCCCAUAAGGUGGGAAGAAAUGGGCUACAUUUUCUACCUUCCUAGAAUAAACCCCACGAUAGCUUUUAUGAAACUCAGAGCAUAAGGCGGAUUUAGUAGUAAGUUAAGAAUAGAGAGCUUAACUGAAUAGGGCAAUAAAGCACGCACACACCGCCCGUCACCCUCUUCAAAUGUACUUCUAAUAUAAUUCUAUCAAUAAUUUAUUUUAUUAAAUAUGUAAGAAGAGACAAGUCGUAACAAGGUAAACAUACUGGAAAGUGUGUUUGGAAUAAC
This 971-nucleotide non-coding RNA is filed under the name Marmota vancouverensis (Vancouver Island marmot). RNAcentral's name for it is "12S ribosomal RNA". It matches the Rfam family "Microsporidia small subunit ribosomal RNA". Lineage: Eukaryota; Metazoa; Chordata; Mammalia; Rodentia; Sciuridae. The record is from RNAcentral.